GUCCCCAUCGUCCAGCGGUUAGGACGCCGGCCUUUCAAGCCGGUAACACGGGUUCGAUUCCCGUUGGGGACG
This 72-nucleotide transfer RNA is filed under the name Deltaproteobacteria bacterium. Its description in RNAcentral is "tRNA-Glu". It matches the Rfam family "tRNA". Rfam says of the family: Transfer RNA (tRNA) molecules are approximately 80 nucleotides in length. The record is from RNAcentral. Lineage: Bacteria; Pseudomonadati; Myxococcota; Myxococcia. RNAcentral also lists the same sequence under 1 other name.